CUGUGGGUUCACAAUCUAAUUCUGGAGAUACAGCAACAGCCACCCGCUGUUUCCUGAGGUCCCCUCCAUCUUUGUCAAGGUUCACUAAGUCCUAUUUUGGGGGUUCUCUUUCGGAUUCAGUGAAGCCAAACUUGGUGGCCCGGAAGACACCGAGUCCCUCUCCAUCCUCUGUGAGGAGCCCAAGUCCCUCUCCAUCCUCUGUGAGGAGCCCUAGUGUUGCUCCAUCCUCCCAGACACACUCCGGCAAGACAGUUGCAUCUGAACAGCCUUCAACGUCUCUGUUACAACCAGCUGCAGGUGAUAAUGCAGCUUCUUUCUGGUUGCCGAGUGAGAUGAGGAAAACCAUCCCUGUGCAGGAUCAAAGAUGGAUCUCAAAUACCCUCUUUAAAUCUGGCAAACUGCGCCCAGAUUUAAAGCUGUGGUACGAGCCUCCUGCGCCGACCCUCAUUUACCAUCAGGUGCCAACACCUGAGAGGUUUUUUUCACAUCGGCUCCUCGUAUGGAUGCCCUACCAUCAGUGGAAGGUCAGGGUGUUCUGCAAAACUUGUGGGAAUCAUCUUACAGGUGCUGGCAUCCACAAGAGGGCUCGGAAAGUCCUGGAUAUUGAUAGGUAUUACCUCCUUGUGACGGAGACACUCAGGUGCAGCGGGUGUAAUCUCACGUAUCUAUCAACAUCCCAGAGCAUCCGAGACCAGCUGGACUUGCCGCACCAGAAACUAUUUCGGCUCAUCCUCACCCAAAAGUAUGCUUGUGACAUACGAGUGAUCAGGCUGAUGAGAGACAGGACACAGCCAAUAUAGAGGGCAAAUUUACUGUCCCUCUAAUGAAAGUCUCACUAAAGAGCAGUGGCUGGAACAAAUUAAAAAGAAAAAAUAAACAUUUUCUUUAUUUUAAAUAACUUCACUGUAUAUAAGUUUUAUUUAGUUCAUAGUGUGUUUAUUUUGUUUUGGGUUAAUGAUACAGAUAUUUAUUCUUAUUGUCAUUGUGUACACAAAGUAAUUCAACAAACCAUACAGUAAAAGGAUUUAAGUCCUUCAGCAAACCACAAAUUUCUUGGUUAAGAAAAAGAAAUGGGAGACUUCAAUGGAAAUGUGUUGCAUCCAAAUGCUACAAUGUUUUGGGACUAACUAAAAAUGUUUAAUUCACUGUCUUAAUUGUUGAAUAAAUAUUUGGUUCUUUUAAACCGAUAAGGUCUAUGGUCUUUUGUGAGUAAAUAUUAGCUGCUUCAAAUUCUGAAUUAUUGGUAAUUUAAGCAUACACUAGAAAAAAGAUAUCAUUCACUUCACUCAAAGUACUUUAGGAAAGACACUUGCAAUUUUAGUUUCAGUCACUGUUUUGCUGUGAAAAAUGAAAAUAAGCACUGGGUAUGAUUAAGGACAUUAAAAUAUACAUCAAGUAUAUAGUAUACAGUAUAAUUUAACACAUUAAUUUGAAUAU
Molecule: long non-coding RNA, 1437 nt
Organism: Xiphophorus maculatus (southern platyfish)
Lineage: Eukaryota; Metazoa; Chordata; Actinopteri; Cyprinodontiformes; Poeciliidae
Exons: 4
Source: RefSeq, a predicted model, not a curated record